RNAcentral lists this ribosomal RNA (464 nucleotides) under uncultured bacterium. Its description in RNAcentral is "partial 16S ribosomal RNA". It matches the Rfam family "Bacterial small subunit ribosomal RNA", at positions 28 to 507 of the family's 1533-position model. The record is from RNAcentral.
GACGAACGCUGGCGGCGUGCUUAAUACAUGCAAGUCGAACGGUAAGGCGACAGCUUGCUUGGUCUCACGAGUGGCGCACGGGUGAGUAUCACGCGGGUGAACUGCCCCGAACUUAGGGAUAAACCUGGGAAAAUGGGUCUCAUAUCGGAUAGGAUCGCAUCGUGCGCGUGGGGCGAUAAGUCAUUCGGUGUGAGAUGGGACCGCGGCCUAUAUGCUCGCUGGAGUGGCAAUGGGCUACCAAGGCGGCGACCGGUAGCCGGCCUGCGAGGGCGGACGGCGACAUUGGGACUGAGACACGGCGCAGACUCCUACGGGAGGCAGCAGUGGGGAAUUUGGCAGAGUGGGCGGAAGCCUGAUGCAGCGACGCCGCGUGGGGGAUGACGGCCUUCGAGUUGUAAACACCUUUCUCCAUCGAUAAAGGUUUUCUGACGGUAGAUGGAGAAGAAGCACCGGCUAACUACGUG